RNAcentral lists this ribosomal RNA (2624 nucleotides) under Escherichia coli. Its description in RNAcentral is "partial 23S ribosomal RNA". It matches the Rfam family "Bacterial large subunit ribosomal RNA". RNAcentral also lists the same sequence under 1 other name. The record is from RNAcentral. Lineage: Bacteria; Pseudomonadati; Pseudomonadota; Gammaproteobacteria; Enterobacterales; Enterobacteriaceae.
GGUUAAGCGACUAAGCGUACACGGUGGAUGCCCUGGCAGUCAGAGGCGAUGAAGGACGUGCUAAUCUGCGAUAAGCGUCGGUAAGGUGAUAUGAACCGUUAUAACCGGCGAUUUCCGAAUGGGGAAACCCAGUGUGAUUCGUCACACUAUCAUUAACUGAAUCCAUAGGUUAAUGAGGCGAACCGGGGGAACUGAAACAUCUAAGUACCCCGAGGAAAAGAAAUCAACCGAGAUUCCCCCAGUAGCGGCGAGCGAACGGGGAGCAGCCCAGAGCCUGAAUCAGUGUGUGUGUUAGUGGAAGCGUCUGGAAAGGCGUGCGAUACAGGGUGACAGCCCCGUACACAAAAAUGCACAUACUGUGAGCUCGAUGAGUAGGGCGGGACACGUGGUAUCCUGUCUGAAUAUGGGGGGACCAUCCUCCAAGGCUAAAUACUCCUGACUGACCGAUAGUGAACCAGUACCGUGAGGGAAAGGCGAAAAGAACCCCGGCGAGGGGAGUGAAAAAGAACCUGAAACCGUGUACGUACAAGCAGUGGGAGCACGCUUAGGCGUGUGACUGCGUACCUUUUGUAUAAUGGGUCAGCGACUUAUAUUCUGUAGCAAGGUUAACCGAAUAGGGGAGCCGAAGGGAAACCGAGUCUUAACUGGGCGUUAAGUUGCAGGGUAUAGACCCGAAACCCGGUGAUCUAGCCAUGGGCAGGUUGAAGGUUGGGUAACACUAACUGGAGGACCGAACCGACUAAUGUUGAAAAAUUAGCGGAUGACUUGUGGCUGGGGGUGAAAGGCCAAUCAAACCGGGAGAUAGCUGGUUCUCCCCGAAAGCUAUUUAGGUAGCGCCUCGUGAAUUCAUCUCCGGGGGUAGAGCACUGUUUCGGCAAGGGGGUCAUCCCGACUUACCAACCCGAUGCAAACUGCGAAUACCGGAGAAUGUUAUCACGGGAGACACACGGCGGGUGCUAACGUCCGUCGUGAAGAGGGAAACAACCCAGACCGCCAGCUAAGGUCCCAAAGUCAUGGUUAAGUGGGAAACGAUGUGGGAAGGCCCAGACAGCCAGGAUGUUGGCUUAGAAGCAGCCAUCAUUUAAAGAAAGCGUAAUAGCUCACUGGUCGAGUCGGCCUGCGCGGAAGAUGUAACGGGGCUAAACCAUGCACCGAAGCUGCGGCAGCGACGCUUAUGCGUUGUUGGGUAGGGGAGCGUUCUGUAAGCCUGUGAAGGUGUGCUGUGAGGUAUGCUGGAGGUAUCAGAAGUGCGAAUGCUGACAUAAGUAACGAUAAAGCGGGUGAAAAGCCCGCUCGCCGGAAGACCAAGGGUUCCUGUCCAACGUUAAUCGGGGCAGGGUGAGUCGACCCCUAAGGCGAGGCCGAAAGGCGUAGUCGAUGGGAAACAGGUUAAUAUUCCUGUACUUGGUGUUACUGCGAAGGGGGGACGGAGAAGGCUAUGUUGGCCGGGCGACGGUUGUCCCGGUUUAAGCGUGUAGGCUGGUUUUCCAGGCAAAUCCGGAAAAUCAAGGCCGAGGCGUGAUGACGAGGCACUACGGUGCUGAAGCAACAAAUGCCCUGCUUCCAGGAAAAGCCUCUAAGCAUCAGGUAACAUCAAAUCGUACCCCAAACCGACACAGGUGGUCAGGUAGAGAAUACCAAGGCGCUUGAGAGAACUCGGGUGAAGGAACUAGGCAAAAUGGUGCCGUAACUUCGGGAGAAGGCACGCUGAUACGUAGGUGAAGCGACUUGCUCGUGGAGCUGAAAUCAGUCGAAGAUACCAGCUGGCUGCAACUGUUUAUUAAAAACACAGCACUGUGCAAACACGAAAGUGGACGUAUACGGUGUGACGCCUGCCCGGUGCCGGAAGGUUAAUUGAUGGGGUUAGCGCAAGCGAAGCUCUUGAUCGAAGCCCCGGUAAACGGCGGCCGUAACUAUAACGGUCCUAAGGUAGCGAAAUUCCUUGUCGGGUAAGUUCCGACCUGCACGAAUGGCGUAAUGAUGGCCAGGCUGUCUCCACCCGAGACUCAGUGAAAUUGAACUCGCUGUGAAGAUGCAGUGUACCCGCGGCAAGACGGAAAGACCCCGUGAACCUUUACUAUAGCUUGACACUGAACAUUGAGCCUUGAUGUGUAGGAUAGGUGGGAGGCUUUGAAGUGUGGACGCCAGUCUGCAUGGAGCCGACCUUGAAAUACCACCCUUUAAUGUUUGAUGUUCUAACGUGGACCCGUGAUCCGGGUUGCGGACAGUGUCUGGUGGGUAGUUUGACUGGGGCGGUCUCCUCCUAAAGAGUAACGGAGGAGCACGAAGGUUGGCUAAUCCUGGUCGGACAUCAGGAGGUUAGUGCAAUGGCAUAAGCCAGCUUGACUGCGAGCGUGACGGCGCGAGCAGGUGCGAAAGCAGGUCAUAGUGAUCCGGUGGUUCUGAAUGGAAGGGCCAUCGCUCAACGGAUAAAAGGUACUCCGGGGAUAACAGGCUGAUACCGCCCAAGAGUUCAUAUCGACGGCGGUGUUUGGCACCUCGAUGUCGGCUCAUCACAUCCUGGGGCUGAAGUAGGUCCCAAGGGUAUGGCUGUUCGCCAUUUAAAGUGGUACGCGAGCUGGGUUUAGAACGUCGUGAGACAGUUCGGUCCCUAUCUGCCGUGG